RNAcentral lists this transfer RNA (76 nucleotides) under Gemmatimonadota bacterium. Its description in RNAcentral is "Gemmatimonadetes bacterium tRNA-Thr". It matches the Rfam family "tRNA". From Rfam's summary of the family: Transfer RNA (tRNA) molecules are approximately 80 nucleotides in length. Their secondary structure includes four short double-helical elements and three loops (D, anti-codon, and T loops). Further hydrogen bonds mediate the characteristic L-shaped molecular structure. tRNAs have two regions of fundamental functional importance: the anti-codon, which is responsible for specific mRNA codon recognition, and the 3' end, to which the tRNAs corresponding amino acid is attached (by aminoacyl-tRNA synthetases). tRNAs cope with the degeneracy of the genetic code in two manners: having more than one tRNA (with a specific anti-codon) for a particular amino acid; and 'wobble' base-pairing, i.e. permitting non-standard base-pairing at the 3rd anti-codon position. The record is from RNAcentral. Lineage: Bacteria; Pseudomonadati; Gemmatimonadota.
GCCGCUUUAGCUCAAUUGGUAGAGCACCUGAUUUGUAAUCAGGCGGUUUCCGGUUCGAUUCCGGAAGGCGGCUCCA